AAAGUGCCACAGCUUGGCGAGAACAGAUACCGACCGUCGCCGCAGAUUCUCCCAGGUGCGGUUGUUUGUUGACUUCGUUUCCACGUACGUCGCUGGAAAAAUGCUGACUGCCACGCACACCCUUCCGUCGUGCCACAUUUCGGCUUUGUGCUCAGGUCGCCGCACCUCUGAGCGCAGGGACCACGGACCACCUGUGUCUGCUGCUGACAGGGACCACAGACCACCUGUGUCUGCUGCCAACUGGCGACCACAGACCACCUCUGUCUGCUGACAGAGGACCACAGACCAUGGACCACCUGCGUUUCUUUGCUUUGGUUUCAUUUUCUCCUACUUCCUUUCUCCACCUCUCUGGACUCCGUUUUGCUGCACAGUGUGAGCCAGGGCACAAACAGCGGAGUGUCUUCGCGUCCUGUGGAGCUUUCCUCCAAGCCAUCUCGUGUGCAAAGGUAGAAGCCAAGCCUUUUCGUCUGGCUCCCCAUUAAACCCACUACAGAACACCAUGUUCAGCCCGAGGCCCCCCACACGGGACCAACAGUGUCGUCAGCACCGUGGGACCCGGCUGCACUGCGGUGAGGCUGUGUUGAUCGGACACGCAGUGCUCAGUGGCGCAGUAACACAGCUCCGCGGUCACUCACAAGGCGCAUGGCGCCCAGGUGCCAGUUGUCUUAUUUUAUGCACUCAGGUGUCCAAGUCCUUGUCCCCUGGCGAUGGAAUGGAGGCCAUGUUUGCUUCAGAGGAAGGCGGCCUCUCACUCUCAGGGCUCCUACUCCACGUGGGAAAGGCCUCAUGGAGAAGGCAGUUUGGGAGAGCAGUGGCAUUUGCAGCUGGCCCACGAGGAGCCCAGCACCUGACCAGGGCCGAGCCUGGGCUCUGGGACUUCGUCUCCAGCAUCUGUGAGGUCAGCAGCCCGAGUCCCGGGGCAGGUGGAAACCGCAGGCCCUCCCCCUCCCCCGCGGGAGCCUGGUCCAGUGCUUCCUCCGGCCCCUGCCUGCUGGGACUGCCUCUCCUUGGGGACUGGACAUCACCCCUUUGCCCACCCUGCAUCCACCUGCCACGUGGGGGCCGCGCUGUGUCGACUGCAGAAAGGACACUUCUGUGGUCCGCCCACCCUGGGCUGUCCUGGACAGUGACCUUCAGGACAAUCUGCUGGUCCCACUGA
This 1159-nucleotide long non-coding RNA is filed under the name Oryctolagus cuniculus (rabbit). RNAcentral describes it as "lncRNA (ENSOCUG00000036862.1)". The record is from RNAcentral. Lineage: Eukaryota; Metazoa; Chordata; Mammalia; Lagomorpha; Leporidae.